CCGCGCCGCUGCUGCCCGCCGCCGCGCCGCGCAGCCCUUUCGCUCCGCUGCGCUCCGCCCCGGCCGGGGCCGACGGCGGCGCGGGGGCGCUGGGAGUCCCGCCCGCACGGGCACGGGCGCGCACACGCACACCACACACACGCACGCGGAAGUGCACCCCGAGCUGGCUCGCAGCCCGGCGCCGCCGCCGCCGAGGCCGCCCCGGCGCAGCGUGCAACAUGGCGCUGGUGCCCUGCCAGGUGCUGCGCGCCGCCAUCCUCCUGUCCUAUUGCUCCAUCCUGUGCAAUUACAAGGCCAUUGACAUGCCCGCGCAUCAGACCUAUGGAGGCAGCUGGAAAUUUCUGACCUUCAUAGACCUGGAAUUGUACCUGCGCUGUGUGAGAUAGUGAAAGCAAACUUGAAUUUGAAAUAUAAAAGUGAAAGUCAGGAGGGGAUGUGGGAGCGUUCCUCACUUUUUCUGCCUCAGAGGUGAAUGCUAGGGCUUUGGGGCCAAGUUGUAUGGAGUGAAGCAGGAAGGGGUGGCUGCAGUUCAGUCCCUGGUGGGUGGCACAUGUCUGAGGUGAUCCAGGCUGUCUUCUUUGGGAUCUGCGUCUUGACCGACCUGUCCAGUCUUCUCACUAAAGGAAAUGACAGUCAAGAGCAAGAGAGGCAGCUGAAAAAACUCAUUUCCCUCCGUGACUGGGUGAUGGCUGUUCUAGCUUUCCCUGUUGGAGUGAUUUUGCCUUCCUCUGUGGUGACGUGGUGGCUGUUACAGGAACCUGAGCGAGCAGUUGUGCAGUUGCCUCCUGAACUCUGUUCUCCGAGGGGAGUCUUCCCUGAUUUUCAGUUCCCACUCCUUGUGAUUUCCUUCAUUGUCCUUUUUCAAAUUCAUUCAGUGUAAUGCUAUGCUAGGACUAGAUCCCACCUAAAGCCAGUACCAUGCCAAUUUGUGCUUACUGUGGUCUGCCUUUAAUAACACUUUGCUUCUAUAUGUAAUGCCUUUAACCCUCAAAGAGGCUCACAAUGUUUUUAUACUUGCAGUUAACCACAAAUGUCUUGGGAGAUAGCCAGAAAUCUUACCUUUAACUGUACUUAGAAGAAAUUUUGUCAAGGGGUUUUUUUUUCUUUGUCAUGAGGCCUUCCAGGAAAUGAGUGAACUGAACUGUGCAGCCCAGCCAAAACCAAAAACCCAUACUGCAGGAAAAUAAAGUUCCACUGGGUUCAUCCUUUGUUUGCAUAACAUUUCUUGGUUGGGCUCAUGUAAAACAGCAAAUUAUGCAAUUCUUUUCACUGGCUUUCCUCUCUUAGUUUCUUUUUGCUUCCAUUUGUGGUGUUUUGAUAAAGCCACUUGUUUUCCCUUUUGAAUCACCAACUGUUUCCCAACUUGUCCUUUAAAAUUUUUCCCUUGGCAGUGCCACAUGCUCUUCUCAUGUCCUCUGAAGCUUUAGAGACAGAGGACAAAAACUCAAGGAAUAUCUCCUUAAGUGGGAAAACAGAGUUUAGUUUUCAGCCUUAUUUUUUUCCUGCUGCUAUUUGUUUAGCAAUACUUUAGAUGCCUGUGACAAGUGAGCUACUCCCUAUUUUCAAACAGUUUCCAAGGCCUCUUGCAAAUUUGAGGUUCCCUUUGGUCUGUAAUGACCCUAGAUAGGAUAAGUAGCAAAUGAGAGACUCUGCUGUUCUUUUAUAUGUUCCUUAACCUUAUGUUUAACCAAGUAAUUGCUGUCUUUGGAAAGCUGGCAAUCUUAGGAGGCUCCUGUGCAAAGAAGUGUAAAAGCAAUUGCUGAUGCCUGUUUUCUUCCUUGAAUUCCAGGCCUUGAGUUUGUCUAAGGAGGAAGUGGAAGGGUGACAUUUGUGCCAUUUUGCCUUGGGAACAAAAGAAAAUAAAAGUAUUGGGCUUCCUGAAAUAUGUCUGCUGCAUAUGAGCAGCUUGUUCAGCCUGGCAUGUGAGGGUAGUGCCAUGACUGUCUCCACAGUAGUGAUGAAUUGUGCCACAAGGAAGGCAGCAUGAGCAUAAGAGCUGCAAUUCUGAUUGAGCCUUACAUAGGCAGUGUAAAGAAGCAGCUCAAUUGUAUCAUGGUCUGGCACUACAUGACCAUGUGUGAUCUUGGCAAAGCCCAGCCCAAAUAAAAGUGUGCCAGUAGUGUAAGCAUAGUAGAGGUGAUUUAAACUUAACCAGAUGAGACCAAACAAAUUCAGAAGCAGCCAAGGUAACUGAGUAGCAGGUCCUCAUUAUAGUUCUUUUUAUCCAAAUAGUUCAUUUUUAUAGUUCAUUUUAGUCCAUAGUGCAAUAGUUCAUUUUUAUAGGUCAUUUUAUCCAAAUGAACUAAUUGUAAGGAAAGGUAAGGUGAACCGUUCAGACACUGGAAGGGAUCUUCCCCAGGGCAUUGCGUUAGUCUCAUGUCAGGUCAUCCUCCGAGAUAGGUUAGUUCUGUAACACCUUGGGUUUUGUGCACUUCCUUCACCUUAUGUCUGCCUUGUGAUAGUGCUUUGCUAAGCAGCAUUUGCCGUCUGUAGCUCCAGAUGGUUGCAACCAGCUAGGCUUGAUCCCGUUCCAUCCAUUGGCUGACUUUGGUUAAGGGACAGAUGGCAUGUCCCCUCUUUUCUUAUCUUUACCUCCUUGGCAAAGUCUAUUGUUUUAUUCUGCUCCACACAAAUAUCACAGGUCAAAACAUGGCAGCUUUGUUGUAUUCAGUGUAAUAAGGUUCAACCCAAUCCUGGUUGAUUUUUCUUGCUGUAAGACUUCCUUGGAGAAAAGCAUUAUCAUCUUGGACUUCAUGUGCCUGAGAACAUGUUUUUAUGUCCCAGUUGGUCUUAGCAGGUUCUCAGAGACCCACUGUGAUAAUACAUGACUUCUAGGAAGCCUAUAGAGAAGAGGAUACUUUGCUUCCAUUUUCCCUGCUGUUCAGCUAUUCAUAUCUUGGCACUUAUGUGUCAGCAGGUGCAUAAAGAGCUAGGCUGUGCCAAUGCCAAGACUGGCCCAGAAGAGAGACUUCUUGUGGGGUACUUUACACUUGCAAUAUUUUUCGGGCUGUCCGUCAUAACCUAUUUUUUUUCCUGGCCUCUGUGUGCUAGUCAAAUAGUCCAAGCUUAUUCUGAGCAGGCACUGAUAGCUAUCAUAACAGAUGGACAAGUGUGUUGGAAACCAAGAAACUAUGUACUGUAUGCACACUGAAGGAACAGUGUACUGGUUCAGGUCAUUCACACAGACUGGCUGGCCGAUGUCUGCAUGUCUGUGGUUAGAACAAGGUGCCAUUGAUAAACUGCAACCUCAAUUUUAACUUUCCAAAGUCAGAAGCAUAUGAAACAACUUACGCCUACACUAUCACACACACUAGUAAUUUGGUGACCUUGCCGUGCUCACCCCAUAUUUCUUGCACUUUCUUUUACUGACACCCCAAAUUAGCUGUAAGAUCAUGGGCCACAUCGGUUGGAUGUAACUGAAUACUUCCCUGCUGAUCUCAGUGAAAGUUGUAUCUGUUGCCUCUCAAACUUUAAACUUGGACUUGUCACUACUGUGU
This is an RNA transcript of Harpia harpyja (harpy eagle), 3497 nucleotides long. It is a transcript of the gene named androgen induced 1, with no coding region annotated. The record is from RefSeq and is a predicted model, not a curated record. NCBI's taxonomy places the organism in Eukaryota, Metazoa, Chordata, Aves, Accipitriformes, Accipitridae. The transcript is spliced from 5 exons.